GACCUGGCCGGGCGGUCCGCUUUUCGGCGUGUUACUGUCUGGCCGGGCCUUACCUCUUGGUGAGCCUGCAUGCCCUUUACUGGACGUGUAGGAGAACCAGGACCUUUACCUUGAGAAAAUUAGAGUGUUCAAAGCAGGCAUACGCCCGAAUACAUUAGCAUGGAAUAAUAAAAUAGGACG
Molecule: ribosomal RNA, 180 nt
Filed under: uncultured Glomeromycotina
Lineage: Eukaryota; Fungi; Glomeromycota
Description: partial small subunit ribosomal RNA
Source: RNAcentral